Molecule: long non-coding RNA, 2211 nt
Organism: Anolis carolinensis (green anole)
Lineage: Eukaryota; Metazoa; Chordata; Lepidosauria; Squamata; Anolidae
Exons: 2
Source: RefSeq, a predicted model, not a curated record
CUCCUGCGACGCGCAAAUAUGAGCUCUGGUAGGCUGACAUCACCUAUGGAGUGACGGCUUACUUCCGCCCUUCCCUCCGCUCUGUGAGAGCUCCAGGCUCUGUUCCAGCGGCUGUAAGAGUAGAUGUUUGUUGACCAUCGAGAACAGGACUUUCCUGAGGAAUAGAAGUCACGUGACCUGCAGUAAGCUCUGCCAUCUGAGAUCUUUACAGGGACGUUGCCUGUUAUAGAGAAGAUACUUUGUGUCUCUUUCCUGCCUGAAACUGCACUAACAUUAAGAAAAAAGCCUUUUCGAGCUGCGGGACUUCCAUUCCAUCUGGGAUGCCUUCCAUGCGUUUCAGGGAGGUUAAAUUCCCGUUUCUCCCAACCGCGGAUAAAAUAACCCCAUGAAUCCCCGUAUCCACAAGUUGGCGGAUCAGCCUCAUUUUAGUGUCAUAUUUUUUCUGACUUAGUUCUAACACUAUCUGCUAUCUUACUUUCUGCACCAAGGGCUCUUACGCUCAGGGAAUAACCUUGAUUUGAGAAAAUAUUUUUUUAAAGGGACAAACAGCUGAUUAUUGAAACUCGCUGCCGUCGCUCUCCUCGUCCACACCACUUGUUUCCUGGGGAUCGCUGCUGCGGAUCUCAGCAGUGGUUCCCCGAAGCCUCCCAAGGGUGACCCGGUGGUUGGGUUGCGACCCUGUAAGGGAGUUUUAGUUCUCCAAGGACUAAGGACCAGCUCUGACCCCCACGCUGCAGGACUUUGCCUUUGGAUCCAUUCUUAACUUCAUUUCCAAGCUCUAUAAAGACUAUUAAGCCCCCUGCUGAAGAUCUGGACUUUCCACAAAUGAUUUUUAUACUUCAAUUUCUCCUAUUAUUCUAUGAAUUCUUCCCCCCUUAUAUUAGUUAUGUACCUGUGAAAUAUUGGACCCUAUUCCUUAUUAAUUGUUUAAUUGAACAUGACUUGGAUAUGGAUUCCCUGGAAGAUUCCUAACUCACCUAUUUCCCUUUAUGCGUGUUUCAUAUCGAAGGGAGCCUGGAUUUCCCUCACUUCUCCCUCCCCGAAUGAACUGCGGAGCUACGAGCUACCCCCAGCCCCUAUCGCCAGUCAUAUCUUCUUCAUUUCAACCCCAAACAUUGCCCCUUUUCAUAUCCCUAACUAAACCGCUUCUCCUUCAAAAGGAGACCAUCCGUUUCCAAAUUGAUAAGGUUUCUUAAGGCAAAUCAGCUGAUUGUCAAAUAGGUCCGCACUUUACAGUUUCUCUUUCUCGCGGCUGGCUGUUCGUUCGCUGUUUGUGAAGCCUCCAAAACCUCCUUCCAGUAACUUUUUGGUUCCAAUUUUCUUCAGAUUAUUCAAUGAGACCUUCCUGUAUGAAUUAUGAACUAUGGGUUCAAAAUUGUAUAAAUGUUUAUCACUUUUAUUAAUUGUUAUAGAUGAGAUGGUUUGGAUAUGGUUUCCUGGUAAUUCCUAUAUUUCUGGAUUUUCCCUACAUGUGUUUGACCUUACCCUGAACUUCCCUCCAGCCCCAUAAGGGAGCACCCUGUCACUGAAGGGAGCGAUUAGCCACCCAUAAAGAUUUUAUCAUAAACACAUUUGCAUGGAACAAGAAAAGUAGGAGAUUUUCUUGACCUCGGAGCUGGCCCAUCAAGAGAAAUCUCCAUAUGGAAAACCUUAACCACUUAACAUUGGGGCUCAGCGGGACUGUCGGAAGGUUCUGCCCCCCGUAGCAAUUGCCUGACUUUCCAUAUUGAACGUUCACCCCAGCUUCACCCUUUUGGGAAAUCAUAAUCUGUUGGGAACAGGAAGACCGGACAUAACCCUAUCAAUGUCUCAUUCAUAAACAAUAGGACUAGACUCCCCUAGAAGGCUUAUUCAGCCUCGGGGAGUCGAUAGGCAUGCAAAUCACAUAUGAUUCAUUAAUCAAGACAUUAUUUCUCCUUGUCCCACCUCCCUCUCUCCUGAUUCAUCAGUUGCGGAAGCGAAGGGAGCCUGUGAUUGGCUCCAACACGGGGUGGGCAGCCAAGCCCCUCCCCAGCUGAGGCACGCCAGCCAAUCGGUGAUGACUUGGGCGGGGGGAAGAGGGCGGGAAAUUUGAAGAGACUUCACCUUGAUUUUGUUAUAAAAAUGGCUUGUACUUCUGUAAUGGCAUGCUUUGCCUGACGAAUUAUUGCGGCAUCGCAUCCGCUUCAGCUGAAUCGCUAAUAAAGAUCACCUCGGUGGCAUUUUCUUCAA